UACGAAGGGGGCUAGCGUUGCUCGGAAUCACUGGGCGUAAAGCGCACGUAGGCGGAUCGCUAAGUCAGGGGUGAAAUCCUGGAGCUCAACUCCAGAACUGCCUUUGAUACUGGCAAUCUCGAGUCCGGGAGAGGUGAGUGGAACUGCGAGUGUAGAGGUGAAAUUCGUAGAUAUUCGGAAGAACACCAGUGGCGAAGGCGACUUACUGGACACAUAUUGACGCUGAGGUGCGAAAGCGUGGGGAGCAAACAGG
This 253-nucleotide ribosomal RNA is filed under the name uncultured bacterium. Its description in RNAcentral is "partial 16S ribosomal RNA". It matches the Rfam family "Bacterial small subunit ribosomal RNA", at positions 524 to 776 of the family's 1533-position model. The record is from RNAcentral.